Molecule: signal recognition particle RNA, 298 nt
Filed under: Cebus imitator (Panamanian white-faced capuchin)
Lineage: Eukaryota; Metazoa; Chordata; Mammalia; Primates; Cebidae
Description: Metazoan signal recognition particle RNA (ENSCCAG00000003684.1)
Rfam family: Metazoan signal recognition particle RNA
About the family: The signal recognition particle (SRP) is a universally conserved ribonucleoprotein. It is involved in the co-translational targeting of proteins to membranes.
Source: RNAcentral
GCCAGGUGUUGUGGCACAUGCCUGUAGUCCCAGCUACUCGGAGGCUGAGGCUGGAGGAUCGCUUGAGUCCAAGAGUUCUGGGCUGUCAUGUGAUAGGCUGAUUGGGUGUCUGCACUAAGUUGGGCAUCAAUAUGGUGACCUCCUGGGGGCGGGGGAAGACCAGGUUGCCUAAGAAGGGGUGAACUGGCCCAGGUUGGAAAUGGAGCUGGUCAAAACUCCCAUGCUGAUCAGUUGUGGGAUUGUGCCAGUGAAUAGCCACUGCACUCCUGCCUGGGCAAUAUAGUGAGACCCCAUCUCU